RNAcentral lists this ribosomal RNA (440 nucleotides) under uncultured bacterium. RNAcentral's name for it is "bacterial SSU rRNA". It matches the Rfam family "Bacterial small subunit ribosomal RNA", at positions 28 to 507 of the family's 1533-position model. The record is from RNAcentral.
GAUGAACGCUGGCGGUAUGCCUAACACAUGCAAGUCGUACGAGAGUUUUUAACUCUAGUGGCGGACGGGUGAGUAACACGUGAGAAUUUGCCUUUAGGAGGGGGAUAACAAUUGGAAACGAAUGCUAAUACCCCAUAUGCUUUUGAGUGAAACGGAUUUAUCCGCCUAGAGAGAAGCUCGCGGCUGAUUAGCUUGUUGGUAAGGUAAGAGCUUACCAAGGCGACGAUCAGUAUCUGGUUUGAGAGGACGAUCAGACACACUGGAACUGAGACACGGUCCAGACUCCUACGGGAGGCAGCAGUGGGGAAUUUUCCGCAAUGGGCGAAAGCCUGACGGAGCAAUCUCGCGUGGGGGAUGACGGCCUAUGGGUUGUAAACCUCUUUUUUCAGGGAAGAACAAAAUGACGUGUACCUGAAGAAUAAGCAUCGGCUAACUCCGUG